AUGAACGCUGGCGGCGUGCCUAAUACAUACAGGUCGAGCGAACAGACGAGGAGCUUGCUCCUCUGACGUUAGCGGCGGACGGGUGAGUAACACGUGGAUAACCUACCUAUAAGACUGGGAUAACUUCGGGAAACCGGAGCUAAUACCGGAUAAUAUAUUGAACCGCAUGGUUCAAUAGUGAAAGACGGUUUUGCUGUCACUUAUAGAUGGAUCCGCGCCGCAUUAGCUAGUUGGUAAGGUAACGGCUUACCAAGGCAACGAUGCGUAGCCGACCUGAGAGGGUGAUCGGCCACACUGGAACUGAGACACGGUCCAGACUCCUACGGGAGGCAGCAGUAGGGAAUCUUCCGCAAUGGGCGAAAGCUUGACGGAGCAACGCCGCGUGAGUGAUGAAGGUCUUCGGAUCGUAAAACUCUGUUAUUAGGGAAGAACAAAUGUGUAAGUAACUAUGCACGUCUUGACGGUACCUAAUCAGAAAGCCACGGCUAACUACGUG
Molecule: ribosomal RNA, 496 nt
Filed under: uncultured bacterium
Lineage: Bacteria
Description: partial 16S ribosomal RNA
Rfam family: Bacterial small subunit ribosomal RNA
Source: RNAcentral